GACGGGGUGUGCGGGGGCUCCCAGCCGGGGGUCGCCUGGUGGGCGAUCAGGCAUCGGUAGCUCACGCCCUGGUACCGCACCAGGUCCCCGACGCC
This 95-nucleotide transfer RNA is filed under the name Streptomyces sp. MP131-18. RNAcentral describes it as "tRNA-Thr". The record is from RNAcentral. Lineage: Bacteria; Bacillati; Actinomycetota; Actinomycetes; Kitasatosporales; Streptomycetaceae.